Molecule: ribosomal RNA, 460 nt
Filed under: uncultured bacterium
Lineage: Bacteria
Description: partial 16S ribosomal RNA
Rfam family: Bacterial small subunit ribosomal RNA
Source: RNAcentral
CCUACGGGAGGCUGCAGUGAGGAAUAUUGGUCAAUGGACGAGAGUCUGAACCAGCCAAGUAGCGUGAAGGAUGACUGCCCUAUGGGUUGUAAACUUCUUUUAUAUGGGAAUAAAACGUUCCACGUGUGGGAUUUUGUCUGUACCAUAUGAAUAAGGAUCGGCUAACUCCGUGUCCGCAGCCGCGGUAAUACGGAGGAUCCGAGCGUUAUCCGGAUUUAUUGGGUUUAAAGGGAGCGUAGGUGGAUUGUUAAGUCAGUUGUGAAAGUUUGCGGCUCAACCGUAAAAUUGCAGUUGAAACUGGCAGUCUUGAGUACAGUAGAGGUGGGCGGAAUUCGUGGUGUAGCGGUGAAAUGCUUAGAUAUCACGAAGAACUCCGAUUGCGAAGGCAGUUCACUGGACUGCAACUGACACUGAGGCUCGAAAGUGUGGGUAUCAAACAGGAUUAGAUACCCCGGUAGUC